GACAGCUCCCCGCGCGGUGCGAGUCGCGUGGCCCGCGGGCGUCGUCAGCUCCCCGGGCCGCGGCCGGCCGCGUGCGUCGGAGACUCGGAAGGUGGCCGAGGUCUGCGGACUUUGCCAGUUGUGAAAACUCGGAGAAGUCACUGCGUAGGGGAGUCGGUGACAGUCGCUGCGGCCUGCUGUCGGCCGUGAGGGCUCCGCAGGCCGCCUCGAGCUUCGAGGGACCCGCGUGGCUCCGGGUGGCCCUCUGGGGACCGCUCUCAGGCCACCGGCAGAGAGCAGCGCCAAGCAUCCGGCACUGCAGGCCCCCGCCGCCUGGCCUCACGCUGCCCCGCCAGAUGCAGAAGAGGAAGCUGGGGGCCCCGGUCCCGGGACUUUUUGGGUAGGCAGCCGCAGAGCUGUGGCCCCGGCUGCCUGCCUUCACCCAGCCACGCCCAGGUUAUGAGCCUGGAUAGUGCUCGUCAGGACUCUGUGGCUUCCUGCAGCAUGAGCUGGGAUGUCAUCCCGCUGGAGCGAGCAGGUACAACGCCUUGUUUGCCAAGCGCCAGUGAGACCUCUGAUAAGAACUUCUGUUCUCGGGGCACUGCAGCUGAGAGCGGGCGUGCUGAAGUUAGACUGGAGCCCCCCCUGGACGGUGGCUUUGCUGGCCAAACAGAAACUGUGUCUCAGGAGGAAGGGAUGGCUGUCUGCUGGAGGAGUCUCCUUGGAUUAGAACCACCAAGAGGGGAUGCACCCACCAUGGACUUCCAGUGCCCCACAGAGCUCCUGGGUGCUCUUCAAGUCUGGCCGAGUCCUGGGGUCCCGGAAGUCCUCACUGGUGACAGGAAGUCUUUCCAAGAAAUAUCAAACCUUAGUAGGAGUAGAAGCUGCUACAGCCCAACCUGGACCUCAACCUUCGGCUCUAAACAGGAGCCAAGUCCUUUCUUCUCAUUUCCAGAAGCAAGUGUGGCCAUGCUGGUCUCUGUGGGAGUCUCAGAGUUACCUGGCCUCCAGGUCACCCCGAAAGUUGGGCCCCUAAUGCCAGGGUCCCGGUGGAGUGUGGGAACCUGGUGUGACUAACACCGGUCAGGCGCAGGAAGCCAUGUCCAUUCCUUCUCCACCUCUUUGGUGGGAGGAGGGAGACCUUCCACAGGGAAGGCAUGGAGGGUCCUGCGGCCAGCCUUCCACCUUCUCAUCAGAAGGAAAGAAGGAGAGGGGAGCACCUCACGUCACCCUGGCUGGAUUUCGCUGUCAUUUUUAUUAAUAUUUAAUUACCCAAAUAAUUCACUUUAAUUGCAGGUUGGGGCACUAUUGUAGCAUAAAUAAUAUAGCAUUCAACCAAGGAGGAAUGGGCUUAUAAGAAAAAUGCAACACUUUAUGGGAAUUUUUAACUUUUUAUUUCAUUUUAGAAUCCCUGAUUUUUAUCAUAGCUGUGCAUUUGAAAUUGAUGAUCUAACAAGCUAUAGAGGUGAAAUUAUAAUAUAAACAUAAUCAUAUACGAUGAUGGCUACGUAUCUUUCUUCCAAAGAACCAGAGCUCCACCAAC
This is a long non-coding RNA of Chinchilla lanigera (long-tailed chinchilla), 1522 nucleotides long. Ensembl lists it as uncharacterized. The record is from Ensembl. Lineage: Eukaryota; Metazoa; Chordata; Mammalia; Rodentia; Chinchillidae.